Molecule: transfer RNA, 81 nt
Filed under: Silvanigrella aquatica
Lineage: Bacteria; Pseudomonadati; Bdellovibrionota; Oligoflexia; Silvanigrellales; Silvanigrellaceae
Description: tRNA-Pro
Source: RNAcentral
GGGGGUUAGCGCAGUGGUAGCGCAUCUGUCUUGGGAGCAGAGGGUCGCGAGUUNNNUUUUUAAGCGGCUCCUCAGCACACU